Molecule: ribosomal RNA, 510 nt
Filed under: uncultured bacterium
Lineage: Bacteria
Description: partial 16S ribosomal RNA
Rfam family: Bacterial small subunit ribosomal RNA
Source: RNAcentral
GACGAACGCUGGCGGCGUGCUUAACACAUGCAAGUCGAACGAAGAGCGAUGGAAGCUUGCUUCUAUCAAUCUUAGUGGCGAACGGGUGAGUAACGCGUAAUCAACCUGCCCUUCAGAGGGGGACAACAGUUGGAAACGACUGCUAAUACCGCAUACGAUCUAAUCUCGGCAUCGAGGAUAGAUGAAAGGUGGCCUCUACAUGUAAGCUAUCACUGAAGGAGGGGAUUGCGUCUGAUUAGCUAGUUGGAGGGGUAACGGCCCACCAAGGCGAUGAUCAGUAGCCGGUCUGAGAGGAUGAACGGCCACAUUGGGACUGAGACACGGCCCAGACUCCUACGGGAGGCAGCAGUGGGGAAUCUUCCGCAAUGGACGAAAGUCUGACGGAGCAACGCCGCGUGAGUGAUGACGGCCGUCGGGUUGUAAAGCUCUGUUAAUCGGGACGAAAGGCCUUCUUGCGAACAGUUAGAAGGAUUGACGGUACCGGAAUAGAAAGCCACGGCUAACUACGUG